UGUGAUGCGAAAUCUUUAUACCCAUCUCGCGUUAAUCUGGAUCGUUCAUCGCAUUUAAUCUCUACCGUUCGAUCGCGCAUAAGGAGGAAACUAAUUUUGACCAUUCAUCGUGUUUGAUCUCGACAGUCCAAUCGCGCCUAAGAAGGAAACAAAUUUGGACCGUUCAUUGCAUUUGAUUGCGACCGUCCGAUCGGGACAGAUGAGGGAACAGAUCAUAAACCGUCCAUGCGCGCAGGAAGGCUUCUGGGUUGUCCGAUCGCAGGGCACAUGGAUCGCUAGCGUGGCCUCUCGCGUGACACUGAGUCAGCGUUUCUUGCCGCACGGCGCGCUCCAGUUCGUCGAGGGUGCUGAUUGAGCGGUCCUACGUGACAAAUUUUUUUUAAAAUUGCUUUCU
RNAcentral lists this long non-coding RNA (394 nucleotides) under Carica papaya (papaya). Its description in RNAcentral is "long non-coding RNA (CPAP_LNC014745)". Lineage: Eukaryota; Viridiplantae; Streptophyta; Magnoliopsida; Brassicales; Caricaceae. The record is from RNAcentral.